GGAUUUGGAACCACUGAGCUAAAUCCCCAGCCCAAUAAUCUAAUUUUUGAAAAAGACAAAACUAUGCAAAAUUUCCAAAUGAAGUCAAAAGGAAAUGAGAGAAAACCACCUUGGCACUUGUGUUGAUCCCAUUAAGUCCAACUUUCUAUUUGUGUAGCAGCUUCAAAGUUUAGCGAAUUAAACACAGUUCCAAAGAGGGCCCAGGUUGAUGUAAGGGCUACCUCAGAGGGUUUGUGAAGAGCCUGGCAAUGUUCCACACCUUGAAAUUUCCACUAGCACUGCUGCUUUAGAAGAUAUAGAUUCUUUGAAGAGUCAGAUUGACAGAACCUUUAACAAACUAGGCAAGCAAGUUACUCUGGAAAAAGCUUGGCUUCUGGGAAGAGGACAUCUGAUUACAGUGGAUCAACUCUUUGGGAGCAUCAUCAGUUUGAGGCCAAGAGAAAACCAUGCGGGACCUGAUUGGAUGAUGCAUAAGAUGCAUAAGAAUCUGAAGUCUUACAGCGAAGAAUGACCACAGGUAAGGGUGGGAUCUCUGAUCUCACUUCCAGCUUAUCUUGCCAAGUCAGUGGGGGAUACAGCCUGGUUCCCACCACUGCAACCCAGAGAAGAAUGUUCACAGCACUGAGCUCCUUUGCUUCUCCUCUCAUUCAAACCUGAGGAGCUGUGGUCCAUGUGUAAGGCUGGUGAGGAACUAUGGACAGUACUUUACCUACUGUCCUACAUUUCACAGAUGAGCUGAUGACCACAUUUUAGUCUAAGGGGGCACAACAACUGAAACA
This is a non-coding RNA of Heterocephalus glaber (naked mole-rat), 779 nucleotides long. NCBI's taxonomy places the organism in Eukaryota, Metazoa, Chordata, Mammalia, Rodentia, Bathyergidae. The record is from RefSeq and is a predicted model, not a curated record.